Molecule: ribosomal RNA, 497 nt
Filed under: uncultured bacterium
Lineage: Bacteria
Description: partial 16S ribosomal RNA
Rfam family: Bacterial small subunit ribosomal RNA
Source: RNAcentral
GACGAACGCUGGCGGCGUGCCUAAUACAUGCAAGUUGAGCGAUGAAGAUUGGUGCUUGCACCAAUUUGAAGAGCAGCGAACGGGUGAGUAACGCGUGGGGAAUCUGCCUUUGAGCGGGGGACAACAUUUGGGAACGAAUGCUAAUACCGCAUAACAACUAUAAACAUAAGUUUUAAGUUUGAAAGAUGCAAUUGCAUCACUCAAAGAUGAUCCCGCGUUGUAUUAGCUAGUUGGUGAGGUAAAGGCUCACCAAGGCGAUGAUACAUAGCCGACCUGAGAGGGUGAUCGGCCACAUUGGGACUGAGACACGGCCCAAACUCCUACGGGAGGCAGCAGUAGGGAAUCUUCGGCAAUGGACGAAAGUCUGACCGAGCAACGCCGCGUGAGUGAAGAAGGUUUUCGGAUCGUAAAACUCUGUUGGUAGAGAAGAACGUUGGUGAGAGUGGAAAGCUCAUCAAGUGACGGUAACUACCCAGAAAGGGACGGCUAACUACGUG